This 239-nucleotide unclassified non-coding RNA is filed under the name Hevea brasiliensis (rubber tree). Lineage: Eukaryota; Viridiplantae; Streptophyta; Magnoliopsida; Malpighiales; Euphorbiaceae. The record is from RNAcentral.
GUAACAGAACUGAUGAUUAUCAUAUGUUGGAGUCACCUCUUGGGUUAAAUGACUUUAGUAGGAGAGGCUAGGAGUCUGCUGACCCAGGUCAUCAUUGCAAGAAGUUCAAAGCAUAUGGUACAAGAGAAUGAUAUGGUUUACAACUUGUACUAUUAAAUAACUAUCUGUGCAGCUGUAGAUAUGAUAUUGUUGUUUUACAAAAUACAAAUGACAUCACAGGAAAGGAGAGACCAGCUAUG